RNAcentral lists this ribosomal RNA (497 nucleotides) under uncultured bacterium. Its description in RNAcentral is "partial 16S ribosomal RNA". It matches the Rfam family "Bacterial small subunit ribosomal RNA", at positions 28 to 507 of the family's 1533-position model. The record is from RNAcentral.
GACAAACGCUGGCGGCGUGCCUAAUACAUGCAAGUUGAGCGCUGAAGGUUGGUACUUGUACCAACUGGAUGAGCAGCGAACGGGUGAGUAACGCGUGGGGAAUCUGCCUUUGAGCGGGGGACAACAUUUGGAAACGAAUGCUAAUACCGCAUAAAAACUUUAAACACAAGUUUUAAGUUUGAAAGAUGCAAUUGCAUCACUCAAAGAUGAUCCCGCGUUGUAUUAGCUAGUUGGUGAGGUAAAGGCUCACCAAGGCGAUGAUACAUAGCCGACCUGAGAGGGUGAUCGGCCACAUUGGGACUGAGACACGGCCCAAACUCCUACGGGAGGCAGCAGUAGGGAAUCUUCGGCAAUGGACGAAAGUCUGACCGAGCAACGCCGCGUGAGUGAAGAAGGUUGUCGGAUCGUAAAACUCUGUUGGUAGAGAAGAACGUUGGUGAGAGUGGAAAGCUCAUCAAGUGACGGUAACUACCCAGAAAGGGACGGCUAACUACGUG